This 648-nucleotide ribosomal RNA is filed under the name Triticum aestivum (bread wheat). RNAcentral's name for it is "partial small subunit ribosomal RNA". The record is from RNAcentral. Lineage: Eukaryota; Viridiplantae; Streptophyta; Magnoliopsida; Poales; Poaceae.
CAUGGCUUUGGCCCAACCUGGUGUGGGUGGGUUGAGAAAAUCUUACACAAUGGCACGGUGAGCAUUAGGCUUAACAAUGAAGUGGGCCCGUAUUAUCAAAGCCACAAAGGGGUGCGCCAAGGCGACCCCUAUUCACCUUUUCUGUUCAAUUUGGCUGUUGAAACCAUCUCGAAGAUGGUCCUUAAUGCUCAAAAUAAAAAAAUCCUCACUGGGCUCGCACCUGACUUGAUUGACGGUGGAGUAGCUAUCCUACAGUAUGCAAAUGACACUGUUAUAUGCUUUGAACAUGAUAAGGAAGCUGCUAUAAACCUAAAACUUCUCCUAUACAUGUUCGAGCUUAUGUCAGGUCUAAAAACCAAUUUCCUAAAAAGCGAAAUAUUCUGUGUUGGGGGGGAUGAGGAUACCCUGGCCUUUUAUGCUGAGUUAUUUAAUUGUAAUAUUGGGCACUUUCCAAUGAAAUACUUGGGAGUGCUAGUCAGUUUCUCAAACCUUAGUGUCAUUGGGACUUUGUUGAUGAAAGAUUCCUUAAAUGUUGCGAAGCCUGGAUUGGGAAUGUGGCAUCCUCGGGUGGGAGACUUAUCCUACUUAAUUCCUCGCUCACUAGCAUUGUUUACUAUUAUAUGUCUAUGUUUCUGCUCCCUAAGGUGA